Haemorhous mexicanus (house finch) is the source of this 691-nucleotide long non-coding RNA. RefSeq lists it as uncharacterized. The transcript is spliced from 2 exons. The record is from RefSeq and is a predicted model, not a curated record. NCBI's taxonomy places the organism in Eukaryota, Metazoa, Chordata, Aves, Passeriformes, Fringillidae.
CGCGCCGCCGCCGCCAAUGGCCGCGCAGUCCGCCUGCCGCCGCCCGCCGCAGCCGCUUUUGUGGGGCGGCGCGGGCCCGGGCGCGGGAGCAGGUGCCCGGCAGCCGCCCGCACCGCACCGCACCGCGUAGCCGCCUCGUUCGCAUCCCGGGGAGGAACAAACCGCAAGGCUUCCCGAGCAAGAAACUCCGACAUCGUCUAGAGCCUUUCCUGGCCGGCAGAGCGCCCUGCUGACAGGGACAGUCCCGCCGGGCCGGGACUUCGUGCCCUGCCCCGCCAUGGGACCAGCCCGGAGCGCGGGUUUAGGGUCGUCGUUGUUUCCUAAAGUUCAAAGAUUGCUUUGUCUCAGUGGACGUCUGACCUGUGUUCGUUCUGGAUGUGCUUUCAAAAAAUCAUCACCUGGGAUUGUAAAUGAAGAGCUUAGAAACAAACGACUGGAACAGAGUUAUUUUCUAACUGGCAGAUCUGUUUACAAAGUUGAUCUUCAGAGAUAAAAACUUUUAUGGAGUUUUAGCAUCUUCUCUGGGAAACUGAAUGUCAUCCAAAACUGGGCUCCAGUGCAAAUCAUUAUAAAUUUUGGUAAAUGCUUUACUUUAUUUUAUUGUGCUGUUCCAAUUGUGUGAUUCGUAAGAUUUUUUACCUGGGAUCUCUCCCUCUCUGAAAACUGCCAUAAAUAAAACUUUAUUCAUAUA